ACCCUGGAUGGAGAGAUUGAAGCCGCAAGGCGGAUGUCAAUUUGUCCGGGGAUAUGGCGGCAGACUGGUGAGGAACACGUGAGUAAUAUACCUCCGAGUUGGGAAUAGCCUUGCGAAAGUGAGGGUAAUACCCGAUGUGUUUACGGCGGCGCAAGCCGCUGCAAGUAAAGGUGCACCGGCCAAAGCCGGGGUGCCGCUUGAAGAUUANCUCGCGUCCUAUCAACUAGUUGGUGGGGUAAUGGCCUACCAAGGCUUUUGACGGGUAGCUGGCCUGAGAGGGUGGUCAGCCACACGGGGACUGAGACACUGCCCCGACUCCUACGGGAGGCUGCAAUCGAGGAUCUUUAGCAAUGGGCGAAAGCCUGACUAUGCGACGCCGCGUGAGGGAUGAAGGUUUUCGGAUCGUAAACCUCUUUCGAUGGGGAAGAAUGUCCAGGCUUAACCG
This 445-nucleotide ribosomal RNA is filed under the name uncultured bacterium. RNAcentral describes it as "bacterial SSU rRNA". It matches the Rfam family "Bacterial small subunit ribosomal RNA", at positions 33 to 475 of the family's 1533-position model. The record is from RNAcentral.